CAAGUUACUGAACCACCUCAGACUUGCAGAUAACAUUGUCAUCUUUGCUGAAACUUUUAAGAGCCUUGAGGAAGUCAUCAGGGAACUGGAUAAAUGAGGUAAGCGGACUGAAGAAAAAGAUGCAGAAGACCAGCAUUCCUUUUAAUUCAAGCAUGGAGAAAAGACCACAGUAAGGAAUGGGCUAUGUUCUGUGGUCUUAACUGAGGUGCUGAUCUGGAGAAUCUAUACCAACUCUCUCUUGGCUGGAUAGGAACCAGAGUCCUUGCUCCCGUCUUUGGCAGUCCCUGAUCUUACCACAUUAUUGUCACAUUUGUUUGCUGAGAAAACCAGCUUUAAAGAACAGUAAAUAUGCAAAACAGCUUUCACUCUAUACAGCUACCAUCUUGAAUACUCCACUUCCCCCACCAUCAAACACAUCCUAUCAAUAGAGGCAUGAAGAGACUGCCCAUGUAGGAGAGGGAAUCCUGAGCAAAGUUCCAGUGACAACCUUUCCCUUGUCCUUCUAUGAAAGCAUUGCUAGGCUGUAACGCUUCCACAUUGCUGGGUGUCAAGCAAUUGCAAAGAUUCAUAUUUCAACUUUCCUGAGCUGCAUGAUGAGAUCGACACAGGUAUUGACCCUAGCUACUGGCCCAUCCAAAAUGAAGCUGUUCUUUGUGCUGCACAAGUAUUUUUUGGCCCCA
This 680-nucleotide long non-coding RNA is filed under the name Chrysemys picta bellii (western painted turtle). RNAcentral's name for it is "lncRNA (ENSCPBG00000004728.1)". Lineage: Eukaryota; Metazoa; Chordata; Testudines; Emydidae. The record is from RNAcentral.